This 460-nucleotide ribosomal RNA is filed under the name uncultured bacterium. Its description in RNAcentral is "partial 16S ribosomal RNA". It matches the Rfam family "Bacterial small subunit ribosomal RNA", at positions 338 to 795 of the family's 1533-position model. The record is from RNAcentral.
CCUACGGGUGGCAGCAGUGAGGAAUAUUGGUCAAUGGGCGCGAGCCUGAACCAGCCAAGUAGCGUGAAGGAUGACUGCCCUACGGGUUGUAAACUUCUUUUAUAAAGGAAUAAAGUGAGGCACGUUUGCCUUUUUGUAUGUACUUUAUGAAUAAGGCUCGGCUAACUCCGUGCCAGCCGCCGCGGUAAUACGGAGGAUCCGAGCGUUAGCCGGAUUUAUUGGGUUUAAAGGGAGCGUAGAUGGGUUGUUAAGUCAGUUGUGAAAGUUUGCGGCUCAACCGUAAAAUUGCAAUUGAUACUGGCAGGCUUGAGUACAGUUGAGGUAGGCGGAAUUCGUGGUGUAGCGGUGAAAUGCGUAGAUAUCACGAAGAACUCCGAUUGCGAAGGCAGCUUACUAAACUGCCACUGACAUUGAGGCGCGAAAGUGUGGGUAUCAAACAGGAUUAGAUACCCGAGUAGUC